Long non-coding RNA from Vespula vulgaris, 2233 nucleotides. RefSeq lists it as uncharacterized. The transcript has 3 exons. The record is from RefSeq and is a predicted model, not a curated record. NCBI's taxonomy places the organism in Eukaryota, Metazoa, Arthropoda, Insecta, Hymenoptera, Vespidae.
CGUCUACCAUAUUGAUGAUAAGUUUUUUUUAGUUACCAUCUCUCAGGCGUUAUAAUAAUUGGUUUCGUUGAUGAGAGAAAAUAAAGCGAUAAAAUUCCUUUUAUUCCUGUAGCGAUUAUUUCGCAAGAGGGAUUUUACUUAUACAUACAAAAACACACGUCAGGAUAUUUAAUUGGCACAUAUAUAUGGACACAAGUGUACACGCAGAAUGAGAAAGAGAAUAAUGAAUGGUUUAUAAAGGAUGAUCCAUAGAAAAUUAAGGCUGCUCAUCUUCGGAUCCUUUGCAAGAGUUAUACUACCUCUUAUACCGUAUAAUACAAAAUACUACAACUCAACCGUUCGAAUAUUCUUUCGAAUAGACAGAGCCAUAUUAAUCUCGUUGAUCUGAAAAUUCAUUUUCUCUCUAUUUGUAUCUUUCUCGAUACUUUCGCCCGUAUAAUAAGAAAAAAUUAAUUUAUCUAAAAUAAAGUAAUAAAGUAAAUACGUCAAAAUGAAAAAGAUAUUAUUAAAAAAAAAAAGAAAUAUGAUGUAGAAUUUUCUCUGGAUCCAUAUUCUUUACUACUGCGAAAUAAAAAAGAAGAAAUGUAACAGGAAAAGGAGAUUAUAUUACGAGAAAAAGUUUUCAAAUAAUAAAUUUUUCUAGUGAGCAAUAUGGAAAGUCGUUAUUUACAAUGAAAUUUUUUGGAAAAUUUUACGAUGAGAUUUUUAAAUAAAUUAUAAAAUACCUGAUUUGUUGUAAAAUUUAUAUUUAAUAAUAUUUUUAAGUAGGAUCGAAAUGUUGCAAAGAAACAUUAAAUACUUCGUAUAUGUACAAACGUAUUAUUUCAUAGUGAUUAAUGUUAAUAAUUACAAUAAUAGUUAUAAUUGUAAUUAAUAUUACUAUAAUUAUUAAUUGUAAUAAUGUAAUUAUAUCAUAAAAAUUAUAUUUCUGUUAAUCUUGGACCGAUAAGGUAAAUACGGCAGUAUAUCUUCGAAGGUUUAAUUCUUAUCGCAACUAUUGUUUUGCAAAUAUAUUAUUAUAGAUAUUCAGCAUAGAUGAUCGGCUGGAAAAUUAGAUGUCGAUUGGGUUCGUGAAAUGUUCAAGCCCUUUGAUUUCAGUAAUCUUCAGCAAGGUUAAUAUCGAGCGUUACUGUAGGGGAAUAACACUACUACACUGCGUGCACUAUUGUACGUAAGACGUAACGUGAGUAAAGUGAUAAUAUUGGCCAAGAAGUUGCAGGAUCGACGAACGGUUUUAAUAUCACAGAAAACACAAAACGGAGGAAACAAAGACACGAUUUCUUGCAAAGUGUCUCAAUUAUUUUUAAUCAUUACAAUAGUAAAAUUUUCAAUAUUUUAGUAAAAGGCAAUUAUUGAAAGACAUGUAAAUCUUAGACAGAUGAGAUUGAUAAGACAGAAUAUCUCAAUUGGUUUGAUUCUCAUCGAAACUUUUGUUUUGCCAAUCAAACAGAAUCGGCGGGAACAAUAGAAGUCGAAGCGGUGCGUGAAAUAUUCAAACGCUUUGAAUUCAGCUAUGUAGAGAAUUCAAUUAGUAAAAUGUAUCAAUAAUAUUGGCGACGCUAAAUCGAAAAUAUAUAGGAGAAUGAUGGAUUUCUUUCCGUACGCUCCUUCCGUUUUCAUAAAAGAACUAGUUUUGAAUGUCAAAGGAAGCCAUGUACAACGAUUAUCAAAAUUGUUGAAAAGUUCUUUCAACGAAGCUUUUUACUACUACGUACUUGUUGAUAAUAUUGGUAUUAAAUAUCGGCAUUGGCCAAAAUUUCGUUGCAUGUACUGAGAAUCAAGAUCGAGCUCUCAUCGAUUAGUUGGAAUGCGAGCCGCGCGAGGGGUGAAUGGCUUGUAGCCAAGGACAACCCUCAUUCCAUGAAGCUACGAUUGAUGCUAAGGGUACUCUAAACAGGGGCAGUAAAAACGAUUGGAGAUAAAUUUGGCCCAUAUUUGAAACUAUAAACGUUUUCUCAAAACUUUGUUUUUGAAGUCGAUGGAUGCCAUAGUUGGAAAAUUGCUCGAUGGAUAUUUGUAAAAUUUACAUAAAAUUUUUUUAUUUUGCAUUAUAUCUGUAGAUAAAAGACUAGAUUAAUGGACGUAUUCUAUAAUAGACUAAUACAGCUUCCGUCUAUUAUGUAGAUAAUUUUAUAUAAUAAUUUUAGUACGGAAUAUUUUAAAGUUAUGUGAGAAACGUUAAUUUCAGGUUUAUGUUACAUUAUCAUGAUUAUUGAAUUAAAUUAAAUUAUGU